AUACUUACCUGGCAGCAGGGGUACUAUGAUCAAGAUGUGAUUUUCCCAGGGCAAGGCUUAUCAUUGCACUUUGGUUGUGCUGACCUCUGUGAUUUCCCCAGACAUAGGAAAAUGGACUAAUUGGUGGUAGUGAGGGACUGAAUUUGCACUCUCUCC
Nannospalax galili (Upper Galilee mountains blind mole rat) is the source of this 156-nucleotide small nuclear RNA. Its record names the gene U1. It matches the Rfam family "U1 spliceosomal RNA". From Rfam's summary of the family: U1 is a small nuclear RNA (snRNA) component of the spliceosome (involved in pre-mRNA splicing). Its 5' end forms complementary base pairs with the 5' splice junction, thus defining the 5' donor site of an intron. NCBI's taxonomy places the organism in Eukaryota, Metazoa, Chordata, Mammalia, Rodentia, Spalacidae. The record is from Ensembl.